Molecule: long non-coding RNA, 1248 nt
Organism: Astatotilapia calliptera (eastern happy)
Lineage: Eukaryota; Metazoa; Chordata; Actinopteri; Cichliformes; Cichlidae
Source: Ensembl
CAUAAAACAAAUAUACAUUUCAUAACACGUCACUGGACAAACCUCGGUCAGUUGAUUUCCUCUGUGCAGUGCAGACGAACAUCAGUCAGCAAGUCAAGGUGGUGAGAUGGACUGGUGUCCUUUGUGACUCUGCUGGUUCUUCUGAGGAAACACCACCGUCUCUCCACACUGUCACCAUCUGUGAGCACAAACUGCUGCUCUGCCAGCAUCUUGGAUUUGGCUGCAGGUGCCCCUGUACAUCCCUCAACAUGUGGGUACCAUUUAAUCAGACUUCUUCCUGAGCUUUGCUUCAUCAAAGGUGACCAAAGGUGGCAUCCCGUGUCACAGUCUUAUCAUCAUCCAGAAGAAACAUUUGAAGAAACAUCAUGGAGAAGAAACAUUUACACGCCUCCUGGUUUUGUUUUCUGAUCCUGCAAAAAAACUGAGGACAACAAAGCCCAGAGAACACGAGAUACACAAUAUCCAACAUUCAGACUCAACAGCCUCCAUAAAUGAAGAGCACCAGGUUGGUUCAGUUAUAGUAGAUAAUAAUGGAUUGGAUUUAUAUAGCGCUUUUCAAGGCACCCAAAGCGCUUUACAAUGCCACUAUUCAUUCACUCUCACAUUCACACACUGGUGGAGGCAGCUACGGUAGAUAUAAGCAUACUUCACAUUACUGGGUAUGAAUAAUAACGAGGAGGCAAACUUUGAAGAUGCAGAGCACGAUGUCCCAUCAUCAGACUGUAAAAAAAAAAAAAAAAAAAACCAUCCACCAGGCUUCUUUGUUGCCAAAACUGAUGAUUCUCCUAUCAGGGAUCAGUAGCGUGUAUUAACCUGUGCUAUAAGCAGCAGUCACUGAAAUAUUACUGUUUCCGAUAAGAAAUCUAGGACAUAAAAGCCAGGGUGGGAGGGAUCUCUACAAACUGACUUACCUCUGCAAGUGUGAAGCUCAACAAAAAUCUGACUCUCCAGUCACAGACAAACAAAAAACUCCAGCUGGGAGAUAGAAAACGCUGUCUGGGUCUUGCUGGAUGUUGCUGGUCAGAGUCCACACAUUAGCAGAGCGCUUCUUUGUCCCACUGACCCAUGUGGACAGCGACUGUGGAGAACUGUUCUGGAAAACAGAAAAGAGAAUUAAAAUAACAAAAAGCCAAACAGGAUUUCCACAAAGACUCUCUUGGAAUCAGCAAUCAAAAAAAUCACUGGUUCAUAUUUCAAUUAAAUAUGAACAGGUUCCUUAAAUGUACGCAGUUCAGAUCUGAUUUAAUU